AUGAAUCACGCGCCGCCGGGCUUCCGCUUCACGCCGACGCGUGAAGAGCUCAUCCGCUACUACCUCGACCCCUGGGUGGCCGACCCGGGAAAGACGCCGGUCGCCGAGAGCCAGGGCAUCAUCUGCGUCGCCGACAUCUACGGCGAGGACCCGGCCGCCCUCACCUCGCGGCACCGGCGCUUCGGCCACGACGACGGCAACUGGUACUUCCUCUGCGUCUCGCGGUGGAAGGGUAACCGCGCAGGCGGCCGGACCAGCCGCACCGUCCAGGGCGGCGGCACGUGGCACGGGUACGGCAAGCGGGUCGCCGUCCCUGAGGCCGGGCACCGGCAGGCCUUCGAGUACCUCGACGCACGAGGACGCAAGACCGCGUGGCUCAUGGAGGAGUUCGGGACUGUGCUGCCGGCGGCCACCUAUGCCGACGGCGUCAGGGUGCUCUGCAGGGUGCACCAGACGACGAGGACGGUGGCGGAUGACGACGUGGAGGAGCGCGGGGAGUCCAGCAAGGCCGCCCGGUCUUCUAAGAGGCGGCGCCGCAUCACCGCAGAUGCAAAGGAUGAGCAGAAGCCAUUGGAGAUGCUUGCCAUGGAGGACAAGUCGGAGCCAUUGGAGAACGUCUUGGCCAAGGACGAAGCAGACUCAUGGGAGAUCCUUGCCAUGAAGGACAAGGCAGAGCCAUGGGAGAUGAUUACCAUGGACGAGCCAUCUCCACUGCAAAUGCUUACCAACAACUUGACAUGUCCACAGGAGAUGCUAACCAACAACUUGACAUUGCCACAGGAGAUACUUACCAACAACCUGCCAUGGCCACUGGAGAUGCUAACCAACAGCCUUCCAUGGCCACUGGAGAUGCUCACCAACAACUUGACAUUGCCAUUGGAGAUGCUUAGCAAGAACUUGACAUUGCCAUUGGAGAUGCUUACUAACAACUUGGCAUUGCCAUUGGAGACCCUUACCAAGAACUUGCCAGAGCCAGCCGAGACCGUUACCAAGAACUUGCCAUCUCCAUUGGAGAUCCUUGGCAAGAACUUGCCAAAGUUGGACAUCCUUACCAAAGAGGAACCCACCACGACGACGACAACCUUCGAUCAAGACUCCGGCGCGGCGAACAAAGAAGCCACCCCUAACGCGGAGAUGGAGAUGCCGGCCGAUGCAGAGUGGCACUCACACUACCCGGAACUGUUCGAGCAGAAAGAGCCUCCGCCCAUGGAAGACGUCAUGAAGCCUCUGCCGUCGCCGACGGUCCAAGAAUUCGAGCAGGGAGCCCCUCCGGCGGCGGUUGUCGAAGAAUUCGGCGGGGUUGCUUGGGGUUGGGGAGGACAUGGCCGGCGCUGCUUGGUGAGGCCUAUGUCGUUAGCUUGGAUACUACCUGGUUUUUGA
This 1380-nucleotide ribosomal RNA is filed under the name Triticum aestivum (bread wheat). RNAcentral describes it as "partial small subunit ribosomal RNA". The record is from RNAcentral. Lineage: Eukaryota; Viridiplantae; Streptophyta; Magnoliopsida; Poales; Poaceae.